Molecule: ribosomal RNA, 1468 nt
Filed under: Helicobacter heilmannii
Lineage: Bacteria; Pseudomonadati; Campylobacterota; Epsilonproteobacteria; Campylobacterales; Helicobacteraceae
Description: 16S ribosomal RNA
Rfam family: Bacterial small subunit ribosomal RNA
Source: RNAcentral
UAGAGUUUGAUUCCCCUGCUCAGAGUGAACGCUGGCGGCGUGCCUAAUACAUGCAAGUCGAACGAUGAAGCCUAGCUUGCUAGGUGGAUUAGUGGCGCACGGGUGAGUAAUGCAUAGAUAACAUGCCCUUUAGUUUGGAAUAGCCACUAGAAAUGGUGAUUAAUACCAAAUACUACCUUACGAGGGAAAGAUUUAUCGCUAAAGGAUUGGUCUAUGUCCUAUCAGCUUGUUGGUGAGGUAAAGGCUCACCAAGGCUAUGACGGGUAUCCGGCCUGAGAGGGUGAACGGACACACUGGAACUGAGACACGGUCCAGACUCCUACGGGAGGCAGCAGUAGGGAAUAUUGCUCAAUGGGGGAAACCCUGAAGCAGCAACGCCGCGUGGAGGAUGAAGGUUUUAGGAUUGUAAACUCCUUUUGUUAGAGAAGAUAAUGACGGUAUCUAACGAAUAAGCACCGGCUAACUCCGUGCCAGCAGCCGCGGUAAUACGGAGGGUGCAAGCGUUACUCGGAAUCACUGGGCGUAAAGAGUGCGUAGGCGGGAGGACAAGUCAGGUGUGAAAUCCUAUGGCUUAACCAUAGAACUGCAUUUGAAACUAUCCUUCUGGAGUGUGGGAGAGGUAGGUGGAAUUCUUGGUGUAGGGGUAAAAUCCGUAGAGAUCAAGAGGAAUACUCAUUGCGAAGGCGACCUGCUGGAACAUCACUGACGCUGAUUGCACGAAAGCGUGGGGAGCAAACAGGAUUAGAUACCCUGGUAGUCCACGCCCUAAACGAUGGAUGCUAGUUGUUGGGAGGCUUUGUCUUUCCAGUAAUGCAGCUAACGCCUUAAGCAUCCCGCCUGGGGAGUACGGUCGCAAGAUUAAAACUCAAAGGAAUAGACGGGGACCCGCACAAGCGGUGGAGCAUGUGGUUUAAUUCGAAGAUACACGAAGAACCUUACCUAGGCUUGACAUUGAAGGAAUUCCCUAGAAAUAGGGGAGUGUCUAGCUUGCUAGACCCUGAAAACAGGUGCUGCACGGCUGUCGUCAGCUCGUGUCGUGAGAUGUUGGGUUAAGUCCCGCAACGAGCGCAACCCUUUUUCUUAGUUGCUAACAGGUUAUGCUGCGCACUCUAAGAAGACUGCCUGCGUAAGCAGGAGGAAGGUGAGGACGACGUCAAGUCAUCAUGGCCCUUACGCCUAGGGCUACACACGUGCUACAAUGGGGUGCACAAAGAGAUGCAAAGCCGCGAGGCAGAGCUAAUCUAUAAAACACCUCCUAGUUCGGAUUGCAGGCUGCAACUCGCCUGCAUGAAGCUGGAAUCGCUAGUAAUCGCAAAUCAGCUAUGUUGCGGUGAAUACGUUCCCGGGUCUUGUACUCACCGCCCGUCACACCAUGGGAGUUGUGUUUGCCUUAAGUCAGGAUGCUAAAGCAGCUACUGCCCACGGCACACACAGCGACUGGGGUGAAGUCGUAACAAGGGUAGCCGUA